RNAcentral lists this microRNA precursor (120 nucleotides) under Chlorocebus sabaeus (green monkey). Its description in RNAcentral is "miRNA (ENSCSAG00000022684.1)". Lineage: Eukaryota; Metazoa; Chordata; Mammalia; Primates; Cercopithecidae. The record is from RNAcentral.
UUCUUUAUAUAUAUAAUAUAUAUGUGUGUGUGUAUAUGUGUGUAUAUAUACGUAUAUAUACACACAUACAUAUAUGUACAUAUAUAUACACACACAUACAUAUAUGUACAUAUAUACACA